GCUGUAUUGAGGCCAUUUAUCUGAUAGAUUCUGUAUACUGCUCAUUGAUUUAUUGUUAUUCUGGGUUACUUUAUACUGUUUUCUCACUCUGCUGUAUGGGGAAUGGGUGCCCCUGCUAUGAUGCUUUGGCUCUGCCUGUAAUCUGUUCCCCCUCCCCGGGUUCCCCUGCUGGGCUCUGUCGCCCAUACCCUUCUCCCUUAUUCCCCACCUGCUCCCCGUGGCCCCUGGCCGCUUGCAGUGCCGCACGAUCACCACGCGGUAGGCCGCGCUCUGUUUUUGCAGCCACGGCAGCCAUUUUGUUGGAGCCGUGGCGGCCAUUUUUCAGAGCCACAUGGGCUCUGUGCGUUGCGAACAGCCAGGUCUCACCCAAGAACUGGCCUGCUGGCCAUGUGGCCACCCUCCUCUCUCCCUAUAUCAAGGAAGAUAGCCCAGUUUUUCAGCUAUCCCUCUACUUACUGUGCCUGUCUCACAUGCUGCAUAUGUAACAGAUCCUGGAUAGCAGAAUCUGUCCCAGGCAUGCUCACAACUGCAGCUUACUAUGUCUGAUGCAAUGUGACUAGGUUCUCUAUCUUAGCAGUAGACUUGUCACACUUUUUUUUACUAUUACAUGUGAAUCUCAGAUUUAAAGGGAC
Pelobates cultripes (western spadefoot toad) is the source of this 632-nucleotide non-coding RNA. The record is from the annotation of a GenBank genome assembly. Lineage: Eukaryota; Metazoa; Chordata; Amphibia; Anura; Pelobatidae.